Molecule: long non-coding RNA, 2353 nt
Filed under: Marmota monax (woodchuck)
Lineage: Eukaryota; Metazoa; Chordata; Mammalia; Rodentia; Sciuridae
Source: RNAcentral
CGUCCCCCAGCGCCCCCCGCGGCCCGUCGCAGCCCCAGGGCUACGCCCGGUGACGGCGGCGCCACCUUGUCCUCAGUGUGCACUCUCUCCGAGUUCUCAUCCCUGGCUCGGUACACCUGGUGCGCCUCCCUGGUCCGCUGUUGGGGUUCAGGCUCAGACUCUCCCAAGACUUGGUCCUGGUACCCCCAUCGCACCGGUAGAAAUCCUCGUUAGGUGUUCACCUCCACGACUUCACCUGAACUCCCAGCACCCUGGAGUCCCCUGGACACAUACAUGCUUUUCAUCCUUGCAGAGUAAACCUGCAAGAUCUAAUUAUUUCGGAAAAAAGUGGCCUUCAACUCUAAAAAAGUAUGUUGUUGGACGUCUGUUAGCAUUCUGGUCGUUCUCAUCAGGGCUCUUACUGUUAGACUUUGCUGCUGUGUUAUUUCUACUUCUUGGCCCUUUCCUCUGCUGCAUUGUCUUCUGAACUUGAGAAUGCAAGAAAUAAUAGCUUAAAUAGAUGUAAUAACUACCUAAAACACAGCCUAUGGGAAAUUUUUGCUUAAUGGAUAUAAAUUAUGAGCUGAAGAUGUAAUAACGAAGAAGUGAAAGAUUUGCCUAACUUAAAGAUGUACCAUCAGUGAGAUGUCAUUUAUCUGGAAAAGAUAACCAACAAUACCAGACGAUGAAUGCGAUGAAUGCAAAGGCACUUGUGACAACAAGGAAUGGACUUGCACAAAGAAUUCAGCAAACCGGUUUAUAGCCUCCAAUAACUAUGUGGUUUAGGUGGAUUACGUAACUUCUCUGGACUUUGUUUUCCUCUUUUGCAAAAUAAGAAAUUGUGUUGAAUGAUUCUAAGGUCUUGUCCAGCUCCUGAACUCUUUAAAACUCUCGGUAAGCAAUUCCAAAUAAAUGAUAUGGAUUUACAUAGGAAUUUUAAAAAGAUAUAUCAAUCCCAGCUGAUGUGCUCAGGGACAAUUUCUUGAGGAGCUGGGAUUUGAGUUGGUCUUUGACAGCCUUGGAUAGGUGGGAAAAAAGAGGACAGGUGUUAAAAUAUUAAAGACAACACAUUAUUUAUGCUUCCUAAUAGCUACUAAAGUAAACAAGAUCAAAGCAUUAUUCUUUUUUAGUGGCUUGAAAAAACUCUCCCUUACUAUUCAUAGUUUUAAAUAAGAAAUGACUAUUUUCUGACUUUACAAACCCUUUAAGGUUAAGCUCUUCCUCAGAUGUGAAUAUAAAAUCAAAAUAAUCAUGAAUCUCUGCUUUUCCCUUAUUGUGAGAGUCCACUUUAUAGAGACUGUACAGUUGUGGAAGCAUCUUCUUUCUUUACUCGAGAUGACUGUUUGUGUAAUUCAAUCAAAGGAAGACAGCAUGUUCAUAAUUUAGGACCUUUUGCACUAAUUAAAAUGUUUUUGAAAAAAUUACAAUAUGUGGUUAGAUUAAGCAACUCAAUUGAUUUUGAAGAGUGAUCAUUUGUAGAAAGCACAGGAAUUUUACGUAUUAAAUAUAGUACUUAAAAAAGAUUCAUGGGAGAAUUAGUGGAAAAUGGAAAACUUAUGGGAUAUCUGAAUUAAAUGUGAUUAAAAAGCUAGACCUCAGGCUAACAUCCUUAAUAUGAAAGACACUACUGACAAAUUAAUGGAACUUAUUAUAUCUCUUACUCGAACGAACACUUGGUUCUGAUAGUAGCACGUGUUUGGGUAAGAGAUCUUCCCUAACUAUAUUAACCAGGAAAAGUUUAUAUUAUGAUAUAUAGUAACAGACAUUGCCAUAAUGGACAUGCCUUAACACAACAAAAAAGUUUAUUCAUGCUUCUCCCUCCUUAUGUGAAAGACUGUUCCAAUCCCUUCAGGAGAUAGAUUGACAGACUCUGCCAUCUUAUAGCUCUAUCACCAGGAACACAGCAACUCAUUUUCUAUGGCAAAAAAAGAAAAUGACUGAAGGUCUCUAUGAACUUUUCAGAGCCCUAACUUGGAGGGGAAACAGAUCAUCAAUCAUAUUUCUUUGCCCAAAACUACUUACACAGUCCCACACAUCUGCGGGGAGACUGAAUCCUUGAACCCAGUUCAGGAGAAGUGGGGAUUUUGGUGAACAAUGCUAAUAUCAACCACUUUGACAUCACCAGUUGGUUUCUGGAUGCUAUGAAAAACACUCCAAUUUCUCUUGUGUAACUUCAAUAAAGUUACACUUUCAAAAACUAAUUCUCUAUAGGUGUUCAGCUCACUGUUGUAUAGAGUGAACUUUCCAAUUCCUUUCUCUUUGUAUUAAUUGUACAGUAUAGAUCGUCCCCAACUUAAAAUGUUUUACUUGAAUGUUUCAACUUUGUUAUAGUACAAAAUCUCAUUCAUGCAACCAUUUCAUUUCUUCACUUUCA